UACGAAGGGUGCAAGCGUUAAUCGGAAUUACUGGGCGUAAAGCGCGCGUAGGUGGUUCAGCAAGUUGGAUGUGAAAGCCCUGGGCUCAACCUGGGAACUGCAUCCAAAACUACUGAGCUAGAGUACGGUAGAGGGUAGUGGAAUUCCAGGUGUAGCGGUGAAAUGCGUAGAUAUCUGGAGGAACAUCAGUGGCGAAGGCGGCCCCCUGGAUCAAUACUGACGCUGAGGUGCGAAAGCGUGGGGA
Molecule: ribosomal RNA, 244 nt
Filed under: uncultured bacterium
Lineage: Bacteria
Description: partial 16S ribosomal RNA
Rfam family: Bacterial small subunit ribosomal RNA
Source: RNAcentral